RNAcentral lists this long non-coding RNA (2228 nucleotides) under Triticum aestivum (bread wheat). RNAcentral describes it as "long non-coding RNA (TAES_LNC009547)". The record is from RNAcentral. Lineage: Eukaryota; Viridiplantae; Streptophyta; Magnoliopsida; Poales; Poaceae.
CAAAAGGGCCCGUGCGUUGCACCGGGAGAACAAAAUCACAUGCCCCUAACCCAAUCAGAAUCAAUCUUAGGAAUAGUCAUGUAAUAAGAGUCAAUCUGUACACCCACCACAGCUUCUGAUCAUGGCGUUUUAAACAUAGUUGUACACUUAAUUCAAAACCCGCAACAACUACCAGGAAGGCAACCAGCUCGUAUGAGGUCUUCCACUGUGUUACAGGUGCCAAAUUGUCUAAAAGGUUGUCACAUCACCACCGAUGCCAAAUGAAAAAGUUAUUACACCGGCUUCACAUCAUAGGGCACCGCCCAGUCUGAAAGAAGGAACCCAGGUUUAGAUAAAACGCUAUAUAAAAUCAUCACUGGAGCAUCUCGAGCGAGUUCUUCGUCCGCCGAAAAUUCCCUUUGUUCUCCAAAUCAAUUCUUUCUAUGGCUGAAACCACCACCCCGUCAUAUUUUUAUGUUUACUUUAGCACACAUAGUUUAGUAGUACAACAUAGAGAAAAACAUAAAUGUAUUUAGAACUGAAAGUAAAUAUAAGAAGCAUGACCAUAUUGUUGGAGAUUAUUAAUCCAAGUCCUAUAGAAAAUAGAAGUGUUGAAGCAGUCUGUACACAAAGUUGCAAACCCAUCCGGAUGAAGUAGUCUACAAGUAGUUACGGAUUGUAACAAGCUGACGUUAAAACUAAAACCAGAGCAGACACACAAUUUCUCUCUCAAAAGAAAAAAAUAUCAUUAUUAUAGCCGACUACAUGAAUUUAUAAAAAGAGAAGUGAAAAGAAAAUCAAGUUACAGGUGAAUAAAUUAUAACUACAGAUUUAACAAUACCUGCACUGCGUGUAAGGUCAAAUUGAUUCAAUUGAUACUAACAUUCAGCAUUUCUUAUGAAAAUGUCUAACGCUUAUAGCCCGAAAGCUGAAAAAUUCUUUGCAAAUUGUUUUAUUUUUUGGAGCUUAUACAUGUAUGGGUGGGUGCCUCAGUUCAGGAUUUAACUAAGUAAACAUCUUAAUGUUGAAACUUUUGGUGAAAUCUUAUCACAAAGAGGAAUACUUAUGCAAAUUUCAUCAGUGUAGAGUGCCUUAUUGCUGGCCUUUCCACCAUGAUUGCAAGAAUCAAUUUGCCACCAAAAAGAAACCCCAGAGACAUGUGUAUUUAGACGAUGCUAAUGUGCACUGUACAAUGGCAGAAUAAAAAUCAUCUCAAAAUUAGGUUCAACAAUACAUUAAUUAGGUUUCUUUUAGGAGCAAUUACCUACUCACGUCCAUGUUCACGGUAGUGGAAAAAAGGAAUAUAAUUUCUACUAAAGCAAACAACUAUGCUUCCUGUACUAACCUUGGGCAUUGCUCGAAUGUUUUAGCGGCUGCUUGUGUCAUUCUUAGUUGCUAAAUACAACCAAAAGUGUAGUAUUUAGAAGCAACGGCGUAACUUGCAACAAAAUAACUAUUUGUAUAGUAAAUGGCCUAGUUCACUAAUCAGGUAGAAACUGUUCAGGCAGGUUGUCCUUGAAGUUCUCCAUGUCGUGAGCAUAACUUCAUUGGCUGAAAAAACUGCUGAUACACUUAAAAUUAACAACCAACACUAUGCUAGUAUAGUAUGAAAAAACAGUAAGUCUAUCUGUUUCACACCAAUGUUUCUUCCAACGAAGGAUCACCCCCAUUGCUAUACCAAACUGAGGGCCCGAGGCUAUUUCCCUUUGCUAUACAGAAUAACAAAAAAGGCUCUACACCCAAGCAUCACACCACACAAUCUUCCAAGGAUGCUAUACAGAAUAAAGCACUACCUUACAAACAAUUUCAGAUGAGGACACUGACCAACAAAUAUUGCAGUUAAAAUUUUCAAGUUGUGAUCUCUGGUGCUCCCCGGCUUGGUUGUGAUAGUCGUGGAGCACAGCCAGAUCCUAGUCCUCCUGUGGACGCGGACGCGCAGAUCCGACCAUAGGCGAAAGAGGCCAUAAACCAAGAGAAACAAAUCAAUAGUGGCCUAGACCAUGCGAGCCCAGCGUCCUCGAUCCCAGGAGCCAUGGCCUUAGUGGCGACAUGGAGAUCAUGGUCGAUGCCCAGCAGAGGAACACAGCUAGCAAAGAAGGAUAAAUAGGAACCUAUUUCUCACCUUGGAGGUGUUGCUGCUGCUGCACUGAAUUGUUUGAACCUUGCUUUCUGUACCUCCUUGGAAACCUGAAAUAUGCAGAUGUUAGAAAGCUUAUAAUUUGUAUAUGAUUAUUUUAAGAGAAGGGGAA